GACGUAGGGUGCAAGCGUUGUCCGGAUUUACUGGGCGUAAAGAGCGCGUAGGCGGUUCAUUAAGUGUGAAGCUAAAUCUCUUGGCUCAACCAAGAAACUAUUUCGCAUACUGAUGGGCUGGAGUGAUGCAGAGGUGGAUAGAAUUCCCGGUGUAGCGGUGAAAUGCGCAGAUAUCAGGAGGAACACCGGUGGCGAAGGCGGGUCUCUGGGCCGAUACUGACGCUGAGGAGCGAAAGCGUGGGGAGCGAACAGG
Molecule: ribosomal RNA, 253 nt
Filed under: uncultured bacterium
Lineage: Bacteria
Description: partial 16S ribosomal RNA
Rfam family: Bacterial small subunit ribosomal RNA
Source: RNAcentral